Long non-coding RNA from Gadus morhua (Atlantic cod), 1776 nucleotides. RefSeq lists it as uncharacterized. The record is from RefSeq and is a predicted model, not a curated record. Lineage: Eukaryota; Metazoa; Chordata; Actinopteri; Gadiformes; Gadidae. The transcript is spliced from 2 exons.
GCCGGGAACCCCCACCCCCCCCCCGGCCGCGCCGAGAGGCGGGAACACUAGUUUCUCAACGUUCCUGCCCUUGAUGACCUCGUGACGAGGGCACUGAGAUGAGGAGAAUCACCCCGAAUGAUCGUCAGUGAUUGGAUUUGGGGUCGGGUUUGUGGGCCGGUUCUGACCGGUUGAUGGGGAAGGAGGGAGGGAGGGAGGGAGGGAAGGAGGGAGGAGGGGUUGAAGCUGUAAAAUAUGUAAUGUAUAAACACAGGUCUUUCUCUCUCACACACAAACACACACAUACACACUCAAACACACACACACACAGUGUUCUCACUACAGUGACUGUCCCUCGCGAAAACUGUGAACUGUGUAUGUUGGCGUGUCUCCUCUCUUACCCACACAUAUGUCCUCCUCCUCUUCCUCCUCCCUGUCCCCCACACUUAUGUACAGAAACUCACAGGGUGGAGGCCCAGAAUAUUCACCACUUCAUCUCCCGUCUCACGGCGGUGAGAGGACUUGCUUCAUGUGUAAAUAACUCUUUAACGUUAACGACGUCUGGGCUUCUUCUCUCCGAUCGCCCACCUUUUGGUUUUCUUUCGCUUUGCUAUGCAAGCAAAAUGGAUGCCGCUGUCUCUGCUCCUUCCGGAGAGUUCUUACCGUGUGGUUCGUUGUUUUGGGUUCGGGUUUAGGGUUGUUUUUUUUUUAAAUGCUGAAAUGUGAAGUGGUUGCAACGAGGCUCCGGUACGUGAUGUUGUACUUUGCACAGAGGGUUACGAGGAUUAUAAGCACAAACUCGCCGCCGUCGUCUCCAGACGGGACGAGGAGCGAAUCAGGAGGACAAAGAGGGGAUAUCUAUUAUAUAAGAAUCUAACAGUAGGCAGAGAGACGGAUGACUCCCGGCUGUUGGCUGAUGCUGGUCGUGAAACUCGUUUAUUGACAGACAAACCGGACGCGCAAAGGAGGACGUUGAUGGCUAACUUCAGUUCUGUAAAAAAGGAAAACUACGAAUAAUUUUUUGUUUGACUGCAGACACCAAUGUGCAUUGCACCUUUGAGUAAUAUUGGAAAUGUACUUAUUUAUUUGUUUAAUUUAUUUAAGUUAUUUAAUUUUUUGUAUGGUAUGACUCAUUUUCUAAAUUUUUUGCAUCGUAACAUGUCCCCAAAAAUAUGAGUAUUUGCAAAUGAGAUCGACUGCUUUUUACAGGGUUUGUUUCGUGCGACAUGAUACACACGUAUGACAUUAUGAAACACAUGUAUGAUACUGAGUCGGGUGGACGGCCGGACCCAUCGGGGUAAACUAAACACACGCGGGAGCUGAGCUACGGUGCGCCAUAGAGGUCAAACUUCCAGAAAUCCCAGGAAUCUCGGGGCCAAGCAUCGACGCGCUCACUGCCCCGCGGACCGGUGUUCCCUAAACACCCAAUACGUCUGUCUUAAAGUCUCAGAGGAGUUCAACUUUAAUCUGUGCUCUGUUGGAACACGCCAUCACACGGCUACAUCAUCUUCUAAAGAUGUUUCUAGAACCAAAUGAUUCUCACCGGCAGAGGAGCUACAGUGAUAAACGGUAUAAUAUGUUCCAAUGCAGUGGGCUAGUUCUGAACUGUGUCCUGCCUCUGAGAUUCACCCCGCUGUAGGUCGACGUUGAUGGUUCUACCGGUGGUUCUGCUCCAGAUCUCCCUGCUCCAACCGUCUCCUUCUGUCAGGUGGCUAUGCCCUCAGGAACACAUAGCCACUAACUGUAUGACCGGUUUUCAAUACUUUGAUGCAGAAUAAAGCGUGUAUGUGAAACUGA